GAUUUCAGGAAAUGUACUCUGUGGUCCAUUUUUUGGCGGAAAAUGAUGUUGCAGUUGUUCCUACCUGUUGGGCGUGCAAUGGCCGCACGGCAUGGCCACCCUACAGAUCAAAUCGGUUGAUGAUGGCAAUUGAGAGCGUGAAGAGCCCUUUACUGACCGGGCCACAUUCUCCUGUCAGGUGAUGGCAUCAUGUUUGACAUAUGAAGAUGCAAAGUUCAAAGAAAAAAAAUCCGGAAGCGACGUCCGACCUAUCAACGAAUAAUGAAGAGCGGGAGAAAAGAAAAAGGAAGAGACUGCUCCUUUUCCGUCAAGCUUGCCUCUUCUGCAGGAACGACCUAGCACUCAGCCAGCCCCUCAACUUCCAGAACGUGCACCAGUGCCCAAGCAAAAACGCACACGUGAGCAGCGUGCCUCUUCCCAGGAGUGACUGAGGGGCUGCCACAAGGGGAGAAGGCAAGCAUGUUUCUGAUUACAAGAAUGGACAGUUGGGCUGGGCUAGUUGGUAAGAAUUGAUGUUGAAAAACGGUGCAAAAACCAGACAAAGAGAAAAGAACACACAGCACCUUGUCCUGUGUGUUCUCUUAUCCGUGCAUUUUGCACUGUUUUUCAGCAUGUUUCUGCCUUGAUUUUUCUGUUAUAGUUUUAAAUGUCUGUAGUUGGUUACUUUGAUCCCUGUUGGAAGCAUGGAAUUGGUUAACCGUCUUAAAUGCAUGGAAUUGAAAAAAAAAAUUCAUGUUACCUAAAUCAUUUAAAAGCUUUUUUUUCUGCUGCUUGCUUUAUGUUGCUGGGAAUUUUAAUAUUUUGCAUUUUUAUUUCCAUGCAGAUCAGCCUUGUAAUUUAGCGUGUUCUUUAUAAUUUUGUAGAUCUAAUAGCUUGUAAGAAACAGAAGUAUACACUGG
This is a long non-coding RNA of Ixodes scapularis (black-legged tick), 899 nucleotides long. RefSeq lists it as uncharacterized. The record is from RefSeq and is a predicted model, not a curated record. The transcript is spliced from 3 exons. NCBI's taxonomy places the organism in Eukaryota, Metazoa, Arthropoda, Arachnida, Ixodida, Ixodidae.